RNAcentral lists this ribosomal RNA (404 nucleotides) under Actinomycetes bacterium. Its description in RNAcentral is "Actinobacteria bacterium partial 16S ribosomal RNA". It matches the Rfam family "Bacterial small subunit ribosomal RNA", at positions 355 to 776 of the family's 1533-position model. Lineage: Bacteria; Bacillati; Actinomycetota; Actinomycetes. The record is from RNAcentral.
UGGGGAAUAUUGGACAAUGGGCGCAAGCCUGAUCCAGCCAUGCCGCGUGAGUGAUGAAGGCCCUAGGGUUGUAAAGCUCUUUCACCGGUGAAGAUAAUGACGGUAACCGGAGAAGAAGCCCCGGCUAACUUCGUGCCAGCAGCCGCGGUAAUACGAAGGGGGCUAGCGUUGUUCGGAUUUACUGGGCGUAAAGCGCACGUAGGCGGACUUUUAAGUCAGGGGUGAAAUCCCGGGGCUCAACCCCGGAACUGCCUUUGAUACUGGAAGUCUUGAGGAUGGUAGAGGUGAGUGGAAUUCCGAGUGUAGAGGUGAAAUGCGUAGAUAUUCGGAGGAACACCAGUGGCGAAGGCGGCUCACUGGACCAUUACUGACGCUGAGGUGCGAAAGCGGGGGGAGCAAACAGG